CAAAGUGGGGGACCUUAAUGGCCUCACGCCAUCGGAUGUGCCCAGAUGGGAUUAGCUUGUUGGUGGGGUAAAGGCUCACCAAGGCGACGAUCCCUAGCUGGUCUGAGAGGAUGACCAGCCACACUGGAACUGAGACACGGUCCAGACUCCUACGGGAGGCAGCAGUGGGGAAUAUUGCACAAUGGGCGCAAGCCUGAUGCAGCCAUGCCGCGUGUGUGAAGAAGGCCUUCGGGUUGUAAAGCACUUUCAGCGGGGAGGAAGGUGGUGUGGUUAACAGCCACAUCAAUUGACGUUACCCGCAGAAGAAGCACCGGCU
Molecule: ribosomal RNA, 316 nt
Filed under: uncultured bacterium
Lineage: Bacteria
Description: bacterial SSU rRNA
Rfam family: Bacterial small subunit ribosomal RNA
Source: RNAcentral